This 77-nucleotide transfer RNA is filed under the name Halotalea alkalilenta. RNAcentral describes it as "tRNA-Pro". It matches the Rfam family "tRNA". Rfam says of the family: Transfer RNA (tRNA) molecules are approximately 80 nucleotides in length. Their secondary structure includes four short double-helical elements and three loops (D, anti-codon, and T loops). Further hydrogen bonds mediate the characteristic L-shaped molecular structure. tRNAs have two regions of fundamental functional importance: the anti-codon, which is responsible for specific mRNA codon recognition, and the 3' end, to which the tRNAs corresponding amino acid is attached (by aminoacyl-tRNA synthetases). tRNAs cope with the degeneracy of the genetic code in two manners: having more than one tRNA (with a specific anti-codon) for a particular amino acid; and 'wobble' base-pairing, i.e. permitting non-standard base-pairing at the 3rd anti-codon position. The record is from RNAcentral. Lineage: Bacteria; Pseudomonadati; Pseudomonadota; Gammaproteobacteria; Oceanospirillales; Halomonadaceae.
CGGAGCGUGGCGCAGUUUGGUAGCGCGCUGCAAUGGGGUUGCAGAGGUCGCAGGUUCGAAUCCUGUCGCUCCGACCA